ACGGGGCUUAAUGUCUUGUAAUUGGAAUGAUGGGAAUUUAAACCUCUUCCAGAGUAUCAAUUGGAGGGCAAGUCUGGUGCCAGCAGCCGCGGUAAUUCCAGCUCCAAUAGCGUAUAUUAAAAUUGUUGCAGUUAAAAAGCUCGUAGUUGAAUUUCUGCUGCAUUGCAUUUGCUCCUUGACGAGUGUCUGUAUUGCGGCUUAUUUCGGAUUAUGCUUGCAUUUUCCGGAUGUUUACUUUGAGAAAAUUAGAGUGCUCAAAGCAGGCUUUUGCCUUGAAUAGUUUAGCAUGGAAUAAUAAAGUAGGACUUUGGUUCUAUUUUGUUGGUUUUAGGUACCAAAGUAAUGGUUAAUAGGAACAGUUGGGGGCAUUCGUAUUUA
RNAcentral lists this ribosomal RNA (378 nucleotides) under uncultured Theileria sp. Its description in RNAcentral is "SSU rRNA". It matches the Rfam family "Eukaryotic small subunit ribosomal RNA", at positions 485 to 900 of the family's 1831-position model. Lineage: Eukaryota; Apicomplexa; Aconoidasida; Piroplasmida; Theileriidae. The record is from RNAcentral.